CGAGUUGGUACCACCCCUUCCCAUCCCGAACAGGACCGUGAAACGACUCUGCGCCAAUGAUAGUGCUGCAACCAGUGUGAAAGUAGGUUAUCGUCAGGC
Molecule: ribosomal RNA, 99 nt
Filed under: Cognatundibacterium griseum
Lineage: Bacteria; Pseudomonadati; Pseudomonadota; Betaproteobacteria; Burkholderiales; Oxalobacteraceae
Source: RNAcentral